GACGAACGCUGGCGGCGUGCUUAACACAUGCAAGUCGAACGGAAAGGCCCUGCUUUUGUGGGGUGCUCGAGUGGCGAACGGGUGAGUAACACGUGAGUAACCUGCCCUUGACUUUGGGAUAACUUCAGGAAACUGGGGCUAAUACCGGAUAGGAGCUCCUGCUGCAUGGUGGGGGUUGGAAAGUUUCGGCGGUUGGGGAUGGACUCGCGGCUUAUCAGCUUGUUGGUGGGGUAGUGGCUUACCAAGGCUUUGACGGGUAGCCGGCCUGAGAGGGUGACCGGCCACAUUGGGACUGAGAUACGGCCCAGACUCCUACGGGAGGCAGCAGUGGGGAAUAUUGCCCAAUGGGCGGAAGCCUGAUGCAGCAACGCUGCGUGCGGGAUGACGGCCUUCGGGUUGUAAACCGCUUUCGCCUGUGACGAAGCGUGAGUGACGGUAAUGGGUAAAGAAGCACCGGCUAACUACGUG
This 468-nucleotide ribosomal RNA is filed under the name uncultured bacterium. RNAcentral describes it as "partial 16S ribosomal RNA". It matches the Rfam family "Bacterial small subunit ribosomal RNA", at positions 28 to 507 of the family's 1533-position model. The record is from RNAcentral.